CAUAUAAAACAAUGCAAGUAAAACAUGCAUAAUACCAAAGCAUAAAAAAUCAAAAUCAAAACAACCAUGACAAAGGUGGGUUAAACUAUUUGUACAAUUUUAGUUGACAAAUAUUGUUGACAAUGUUGGAAGUAGUGAAAUUUGGACCAAUGAUUUAAAAAAUACUUUUUGACAAUUUAAAAAAUGGAUGAAUGUAAUGAUGCCAACAAAGAUUGUCAUCCAUGAUUGUACAAGCAUAAUUGGAAGUUGAUAGUAGUUGUCCGCAGAGGUUCGAGGUUUUAAUGCUGUAAGGAGACGUGGCCCCUCAUGCUCCUUUCAUACCCAAAUUUUACGCCACUUUAGUCAUGUCUCUUACUUUAUUAUCCAAAAUGCCCUUUCUCGCCAUUUGCUCAUGUAGUUUUUAUCUCAAGCCGGGUCAAACUUUCAUGGGCUUAUUAAGGGAGUGGUCAUACAUAUAUAUAUGCAAAAAAUAAAAAUAAUAAAAUCAGAAUUUAAAUGUAAGAUAACCAUGAAUUGCCGAUUAUGCAGCAAAGGAUUUGGUAUUAGUAUUGCCACUACCAAUAGUCUCCACAGGACCAGUAGCCAGCACGACAAAGAUGGAACCUGUUGGUGCCUCUCAAGAUGAUUUCCCUGUUCUCCACCACUGAUACAAUCUUGAAUGCUGUGAGACUGCUGUGGAGACGAAACUGUCGGAAAAGACUGAAAGGAGGAUCUGAUCCGAAUAACUGGUGCAGUUGAUCGGAUGAUUGAAUUGCGUGAUAAUUUUUUCAUGCAUGCUGAAGAUGGGUAGUUUUCGAGGGUAAUUCUUGAAGAAACUGGUUUCAACUCGGUUGAUUUUAGUCCUCAAGACAUCUGAUAUUCAUUUGCAUGUAAUUCAAUCCAAAAAACCAGAUGCCUACCAUUCAACUGUCUUUAAAAUGUGCGGGUUGGACAGGCAGAAGAAUUGCUUGUAUAAAAAUAAGUUACAAUUUACUUCUUUUUCUAAACAAUUUAAGCCCUGUUUGGUUCAGCAAGAAAUUGAUGAAAAUCUAUGUCAAUAUCAACAAUUAAUUUUAACCACACAUUUCAUCAAAAUUGACUAAAAUCUGAUUUUUUGCUAAACCAAACAGGGGCUAACAAGUAACAAGCUAACUUUAAACGUUACCUGUAACAAAAUAAUCAGACAAUAUAACUGAACCCAGGGGAAGUUAAAAAUGCAUCGUAUGCUCAUGACCCUAUAUUAUAUAACCAGCAGCAUUUUCAGUAAGUCACCUAAGUACAAGUUUGUAACAUAAAAAGUCCACCAUUGAUGGUUAAAAUGUACAGCAUAAACUGGAAGUACAACCACAAUGACAAGCUUACCAUACACACUGUUUAAUAGAUAUCUCCAAUUGUUGACACAAAUCCUAAAUAGACAUUCAUUAUCAGAACAACUCUACUGAUUUUUAAUAUUGAAGGCCCUUAAAUUGCAGUUUAC
This 1456-nucleotide long non-coding RNA is filed under the name Olea europaea subsp. europaea. Lineage: Eukaryota; Viridiplantae; Streptophyta; Magnoliopsida; Lamiales; Oleaceae. The record is from RNAcentral.